This 404-nucleotide ribosomal RNA is filed under the name uncultured eukaryote. RNAcentral's name for it is "SSU rRNA". It matches the Rfam family "Eukaryotic small subunit ribosomal RNA", at positions 567 to 972 of the family's 1831-position model. The record is from RNAcentral.
CCAGCAGCUGCGGUAAUUCCAGCUCCAAUAGCGUAUAUUAAAGUUGUUGCAGUUAAAAAGCUCGUAGUUGAAUUUCUGGUGGGGGCGGUCGGUCCAUCAUUCAUUUGUUGGAACCUGAUUGUCUCCUGCCAUCCAUGGAGAGAACUUAUCUGGCAUUAAGUUGUCGGGUUGGCAAUCUUCAUCUUUUACUGUGAAAAAAUUAGAGUGUUCAAAGCAGGCUUAUGCCGUUGAAUAUAUUAGCAUGGAAUAAUAAGAUAGGACUAUGGUACUAUUUUGUUGGUUUGUGCACCAUGGUAAUGAUUAAUAGGGACAGUUGGGGGUAUUCGUAUUCCAUUGUCAGAGGUGAAAUUCUUGGAUUUAUGGAAGACGAACUACUGCGAAAGCAUUUACCAAGGAUGUUUUCA